Non-coding RNA from Paramuricea clavata, 204 nucleotides. NCBI's taxonomy places the organism in Eukaryota, Metazoa, Cnidaria, Anthozoa, Malacalcyonacea, Plexauridae. The record is from the annotation of a GenBank genome assembly.
CCCCUAACGAUGCCAAAUUUCCUGUUAUAAUUUUCAGUUUGUCCCUACAGUCCUCAAAAUUGGUGAUAUUCUCUUUCAUCUCCCUAUGGCAUAGUUCUUGUCAUCCCCUUUGCCAUUUCUCCAUCUACUUUCUUGGACCAUUUUGUAUUGAAUUGUGAUUAACAGUGUUUACACCAUCAUUCAUCGAUUAUCUCAAAAAUCGUA